This 744-nucleotide long non-coding RNA is filed under the name Cicer arietinum (chickpea). RNAcentral's name for it is "long non-coding RNA (CARI_LNC003446)". Lineage: Eukaryota; Viridiplantae; Streptophyta; Magnoliopsida; Fabales; Fabaceae. The record is from RNAcentral.
UUAAAUUUUAAACUCAACUUUAUAACCAAAAAUACACUUGGUAAAUUGCAUGACAACGAAAGGUCAUAUAAGAAUCUCUAAGCCCAUUGUAGUACCCUAAUUUUGUCCGUUUUGAAAACAAAUAUAAGAAGGAAAUAUGUAUUUAAAAAAGGAAAUAAAAAUAAUUACAAUAAAUAAUUUCAUUAUAUAUUAAAUUUACAAUUUCAAAUCUAAUUAGAGUUUUAAAACCAAAUCAAAUUACAAACUAAAAUAAAGGCAAAAAUAAAUUACAAUAAAAUUUAAAUCAGAUCAAGCCAGCCUUGCUAUGUUGACUUUGUUCACUGCCAAACUCUGCCAUGUUGAUGAUGACUGCCAUUGAUGCACAAGCCAUGCUUAUGGGUACAUCUGUUCCUGUUUUAACUGAAUUGAGAAACAUAAAAACAUAAUUUUUUAAAUCAGUCUUGGUACACAUUGUGCAGAACAAAGAGACAACCUUUAGAGUUUAAAAAAAGAAACUAAAAGACAAAUUAAAGCUCAGCAAUAGAACAGAUCAAAGCAAGUAAAUCAAAAUCAUGAAUGCAUCAGAGGUGUAGAAAAAACGCAGAUGAUGAGCAAAGGAAAAAAACAUCAAACAGGAAAUAGAUAGAACAGAGACACAGCCAAGAAAACAACUAAUCAGAUAAAAAAACUCUAUAAAAACAUCUGUUUUUUUUACAAAGUGGGGAGACAUUUUUUUUGAGGAGGAGAAAUCUGAGAUUAAUANNN